AUGUGCAGAACUGCCAAGGAUCAUCGGAUUUGGAGUAGGAGCCUAAUCGGAGACACAAAGCUCCAGUUCCAUAUUGCUUGUGAGGUCAUCUUGUGCCUAGAUGUGGCCCAAGAGCGACGGCGUCUCACGGCGGCUGAACCAGAGCUCAGGAAAGAACUGAAGACCAAGCUUCUUGGCCUUGCUGCGAUCGAGCAUUGCAGGCAGAGGCAGGCUUCCCGCCUCACCUGGCUACGCGUGGGCGACGCCCCAACAAAGUUCUUCAUGGCCAAGAUCAGUUCAAGAAGGCGCACAAACUUCAUUCAUGUCCUGAAGGUCGGAGAUAACAUCGUGACAGCUCAUGUUGAGAAGGAAAAGGCAAUCCAUGAUCACUUCAACAACAUUUUGGGAACCCCGCAGCACCGCCCAACAUCUAUCAACUGGGCUCAGCUCCAAAUGCGAGCAAUCCAGGGAGGAGGACUGGAUAACCCCUUCACAAAAGAGGAGGUCCGGGCUGCGAUCAAGGCCUCGCCUACUUAA
RNAcentral lists this ribosomal RNA (516 nucleotides) under Triticum aestivum (bread wheat). RNAcentral's name for it is "partial small subunit ribosomal RNA". The record is from RNAcentral. Lineage: Eukaryota; Viridiplantae; Streptophyta; Magnoliopsida; Poales; Poaceae.